Molecule: ribosomal RNA, 253 nt
Filed under: uncultured bacterium
Lineage: Bacteria
Description: partial 16S ribosomal RNA
Rfam family: Bacterial small subunit ribosomal RNA
Source: RNAcentral
UACAGAGGGUGCAAGCGUUGCUCGGAAUCAUUGGGCGUAAAGGGUAGGUAGGUGGUCUCAUUUGUCUGGGGUGAAAUCCUUGAGCUUAACUCAAGAAGUGCCCUAGAAACGGUGAGACUGGAGUCCUGGAGAGGGUCGUGGAAUUCCCGGUGUAGCGGUGAAAUGCGUAGAGAUCGGGAGGAACACCAGAGGCGAAGGCGGCGACCUGGACAGGUACUGACACUCAACUACGAAAGCGUGGGGAGCAAACAGG